Molecule: ribosomal RNA, 1394 nt
Filed under: uncultured bacterium
Lineage: Bacteria
Description: bacterial SSU rRNA
Rfam family: Bacterial small subunit ribosomal RNA
Source: RNAcentral
GUCGAACGCUUUUUGGUACUUCGGUGCGAGAGAGAGUGGCGGACGGGUGAGGAACACGUGGAUUAUCUCCCUUGAGGUGAGGAAUACCGACGAGAAAUCGUUGACAAUACCGCAUAGGUUCGGUGAGAGCCGAGCAAAGUCUUGUGAGAGCAAGAUGCCUUGAGAUGAGUCCGCGGCCGAUUAGCUAGCUGGUGGGGUAAUGGCCUACCAGGGCGACGAUCGGUAGCUGAUCUGAGAGGAUGAGCAGCCACACUGGGAUUGAGAACGGCCCAGACUCCUACGGGAGGCAGCAGUGAGGAAUUUUCGGCAAUGGGGGCAACCCUGACCGAGCAACGCCGCGUGCAGGACGAAGGUCUUCGGAUCGUAAACUGCUUUUAUCAGGGAAGAGAACGGACGGUACCUGAUGAAUCAGCCCCGGCUAACUACGUGCCAGCAGCCGCGGUAAUACGUAGGGGGCAAGCGUUGUCCGGAUUUAUUGGGCGUAAAGCGCACGCAGGCGGUCGCACAAGUUUGUGCUAACAUUUUCUGGCUCAACCAGGAAAGGUGCAUGAAAACUAUGCGACUUGAGAGCGAGAGAGGGACAUGGAACUCCGGGUGAAGCAGUGAAAUGCGUAGAUAUCCGGAAGAACACCAAAGGCGAAGGCAGUGUUCUGGCUCGUGUCUGACGCUCNNUGCGAAAGCCNNGGGAGCGAACGGGAUUAGAUACCCCGGUAGUCCUGGCCGUAAACGAUGACCACUAGAUGUGCGGGGUAUCGACCCCUUUCCGUGUCGGAGCAAACGCGAUAAGUGGUCCGCCUGGGGAGUACGGUCGCAAGAUUAAAACUCAAAGGAAUUGACGGGGACCCGCACAAGCAGCGGAGCGUGUGGUUUAAUUCGAUGCAACGCGAAGAACCUUACCAGGGUUUGACAUGGACAGGAAGGUUCGUGAAAACGAAGUCCCUUCGGGGUCUGUCCACAGGUGCUGCAUGGCUGUCGUCAGCUCGUGUCGUGAGAUGUCGGGUUAAGUCCCAUAACGAGCGCAACCCCUAUCGUCGGUUGGAGAUGUCCGACGAGACUGCCACCUAACGGUGGAGGAAGGUGGGGAUGACGUCAAGUCAGCACGGCCCUUACAUCCUGGGCGACACACACGCUACAAUGGCCGGUACAAUGAGUUGCCAACCCGCGAGGGGGAGCUAAUCUAGAAAAACCGGUCUCAGUUCGGAUUGGAGGCUGCAACCCGCCUCCAUGAAGUGGGAGUUGCUAGUAACCGUAGGUCAGCACACUACGGUGAAUACGUUCCCGGGUCUUGUACACACCGCCCGUCACACCACGAAAGUCGGCAACACCUGAAGCCGCUAGGCUAACCCCUCGCAAGAGGGGAGGCAGGCGUCGAGGGUGGGGUUGGUGAUUGGGGU